RNAcentral lists this small nucleolar RNA (217 nucleotides) under Chlorella variabilis. RNAcentral describes it as "Small nucleolar RNA U3". It matches the Rfam family "Small nucleolar RNA U3". Rfam says of the family: Small nucleolar RNAs (snoRNAs) are involved in the processing and modification of rRNA in the nucleolus. There are two main classes of snoRNAs: the box C/D class, and the box H/ACA class. The record is from Rfam by way of RNAcentral. Lineage: Eukaryota; Viridiplantae; Chlorophyta; Trebouxiophyceae; Chlorellales; Chlorellaceae.
UCGACUAUACUAAUACAGGAUCUGUAUUUCAGUUGAUACACCUUAUCUGUUUUCUUCAAAACAGACAAGCUCCUCAAGUCUGAUGCUGUGUUGUAGGGUCCUUGCUUGAGCGCGAGAAACUGCUCUGGCCGACGGUGCCGCUUGGCACUGCGCCACAGUUCGACGAACGCAGGAGCGGACGCCAGUCCCUCCUGAGCAUGGACCCAUUCUGAGGACU